GGGUUGUGAGGUUAAGCGAACAAGCGUACACGGUGGAUGCCCUGGCAGUCAGAGGCGAUGAAGGACGUGCUAAUCUGCGAAAAGCGCCGGUAAGGUGAUAUGAACCGUUAUAACCGGCGAUGUCCGAAUGGGGAAACCCGGUGCACUUCGGUGCAUCAUCGUUAGCUGAAUACAUAGGCUAACGAGGCGAACCGGGGGAACUGAAACAUCUAAGUACCCCGAGGAAAAGAAAUCAACCGAGAUUCCCCCAGUAGCGGCGAGCGAACGGGGAACAGCCCAGAGCCUGAAUCAGCUUGUGUGUCAGUGGAACGGUCUGGAAAGGCCGGCGAUACAGGGUGACAGCCCCGUACACGAAGGCACACAGGCUGUGAGCUCGAUGAGUAGGGCGGGACACGUGAUAUCCUGUCUGAAGAUGGGGGGACCAUCCUCCAAGGCUAAAUACUCCUGACUGACCGAUAGUGAACCAGUACCGUGAGGGAAAGGCGAAAAGAACCCCGGCGAGGGGAGUGAAACAGAACCUGAAACCGUGUACGUACAAGCAGUGGGAGCCUUCGUAAGAGGGUGACUGCGUACCUUUUGUAUAAUGGGUCAGCGACUUAUAUUCUGUAGCAAGGUUAACCGUAUAGGGGAGCCGAAGGGAAACCGAGUCUUAACCGGGCGUUAAGUUGCAGGGUAUAGACCCGAAACCCGGUGAUCUAGCCAUGGGCAGGUUGAAGGUUGGGUAACACUAACUGGAGGACCGAACCGACUAAUGUUGAAAAAUUAGCGGAUGACCUGUGGCUGGGGGUGAAAGGCCAAUCAAACCGGGAGAUAGCUGGUUCUCCCCGAAAGCUAUUUAGGUAGCGCCUCGUGAACUCAUCUCCGGGGGUAGAGCACUGUUUCGGCUAGGGGGCCAUCCCGGCUUACCAACCCGAUGCAAACUGCGAAUACCGGAGAAUGUUAUCACGGGAGACACACGGCGGGUGCUAACGUCCGUCGUGAAGAGGGAAACAACCCAGACCGCCAGCUAAGGUCCCAAAGUCAUGGUUAAGUGGGAAACGAUGUGGGAAGGCCCAGACAGCCAGGAUGUUGGCUUAGAAGCAGCCAUCAUUUAAAGAAAGCGUAAUAGCUCACUGGUCGAGUCGGCCUGCGCGGAAGAUGUAACGGGGCUAAACCAUGCACCGAAGCUGCGGCAGCGACACUAUGUGUUGUUGGGUAGGGGAGCGUUCUGUAAGCCUGUGAAGGUGUGCUGUGAGGCAUGCUGGAGGUAUCAGAAGUGCGAAUGCUGACAUAAGUAACGAUAAAGCGGGUGAAAAGCCCGCUCGCCGGAAGACCAAGGGUUCCUGUCCAACGUUAAUCGGGGCAGGGUGAGUCGACCCCUAAGGCGAGGCCGAAAGGCGUAGUCGAUGGGAAACAGGUUAAUAUUCCUGUACUUGGUGUUACUGCGAAGGGGGGACGGAGAAGGCUAUGUCGGCCGGGCGACGGUUGUCCCGGUUUAAGCGUGUAGGCUGACUUUCCAGGCAAAUCCGGAAGGUUAAGGCUGAGGCGUGAUGACGAGGCACCACGGUGCUGAAGUGACAAAUGCCCUGCUUCCAGGAAAAGCCUCUAAGCAUCAGGUAACAUCAAAUCGUACCCCAAACCGACACAGGUGGUCAGGUAGAGAAUACCAAGGCGCUUGAGAGAACUCGGGUGAAGGAACUAGGCAAAAUGGUGCCGUAACUUCGGGAGAAGGCACGCUGACAUGUAGGUGAAGCCCCUGCGGGUGGAGCUGAAGUCAGUCGAAGAUACCAGCUGGCUGCAACUGUUUAUUAAAAACACAGCACUGUGCAAACACGAAAGUGGACGUAUACGGUGUGACGCCUGCCCGGUGCCGGAAGGUUAAUUGAUGGGGUUAUCGCAAGAGAAGCUCCUGAUCGAAGCCCCGGUAAACGGCGGCCGUAACUAUAACGGUCCUAAGGUAGCGAAAUUCCUUGUCGGGUAAGUUCCGACCUGCACGAAUGGCGUAAUGAUGGCCAGGCUGUCUCCACCCGAGACUCAGUGAAAUUGAACUCGCUGUGAAGAUGCAGUGUACCCGCGGCAAGACGGAAAGACCCCGUGAACCUUUACUACAGCUUGACACUGAACAUUGAGCCUUGAUGUGUAGGAUAGGUGGGAGGCUUUGAAGCGUGGACGCCAGUCUGCGUGGAGCCGACCUUGAAAUACCACCCUUUAAUGUUUGAUGUUCUAACCUGGCGCCGUGAUCCGGCGUGGGGACAGUGUCUGGUGGGUAGUUUGACUGGGGCGGUCUCCUCCCAAAGUGUAACGGAGGAGCACGAAGGUCAGCUAAUCCUGGUCGGACAUCAGGAGGUUAGUGCAAUGGCAUAAGCUGGCUUGACUGCGAGAGUGACGGCUCGAGCAGGUGCGAAAGCAGGUCAUAGUGAUCCGGUGGUUCUGUAUGGAAGGGCCAUCGCUCAACGGAUAAAAGGUACUCCGGGGAUAACAGGCUGAUACCGCCCAAGAGUUCAUAUCGACGGCGGUGUUUGGCACCUCGAUGUCGGCUCAUCACAUCCUGGGGCUGAAGUAGGUCCCAAGGGUAUGGCUGUUCGCCAUUUAAAGUGGUACGCGAGCUGGGUUUAGAACGUCGUGAGACAGUUCGGUCCCUAUCUGCCGUGGGCGCUGGAGAAUUGAGGGGGGCUGCUCCCAGUACGAGAGGACCGGAGUGGACGCAUCACUGGUGUUCGGGUUGUCAUGCCAAUGGCAUUGCCCGGUAGCUAAAUGCGGAAGAGAUAAGUGCUGAAAGCAUCUAAGCACGAAACUUGCCCCGAGAUGAGUUCUCCCUGAGACUGUAAGUCUCCUGAAGGAACGUUGAAGACGACGACGUUGAUAGGCCGGGUGUGUAAGCGCAGCGAUGCGUUGAGCUAACCGGUACUAAUGAACCGUGAGGCUUAACCUUACAACGCCAAAGAAGU
RNAcentral lists this ribosomal RNA (2927 nucleotides) under Cronobacter sakazakii. RNAcentral describes it as "23S ribosomal RNA". It matches the Rfam family "Bacterial large subunit ribosomal RNA". The record is from RNAcentral. Lineage: Bacteria; Pseudomonadati; Pseudomonadota; Gammaproteobacteria; Enterobacterales; Enterobacteriaceae.